RNAcentral lists this ribosomal RNA (250 nucleotides) under uncultured bacterium. Its description in RNAcentral is "partial 16S ribosomal RNA". It matches the Rfam family "Bacterial small subunit ribosomal RNA", at positions 524 to 773 of the family's 1533-position model. The record is from RNAcentral.
UACGGAGGGUGCAAGCGUUGUUCGGAAUCAUUGGGCGUAAAGCGCGUGUAGGUGGCUUGGCAAGUCGGUUGUGAAAUCCCGGGGCCCAACCCCGGAACUGCAUUCGAAACUGCCUCGCUAGAGUCCCGGAGAGGAAGGCGGAAUUCCCGGUGUAGAGGUGAAAUUCGUAGAUAUCGGGAGGAACACCAGCGGCGAAGGCGGCCUUCUGGACGGUGACUGACACUGAGACGCGAAAGCGUGGGGAGCAAAC